CCUACGGGAGGCAGCAGUGGGGAAUAUUGCACAAUGGGGGAAACCCUGAUGCAGCGACGCCGCGUGAGUGAAGAAGUAAUUCGUUAUGUAAAGCUCUAUCAGCAGGGAAGAAAAUGACGGUACCUGAGUAAGAAGCCCCGGCUAACUACGUGCCAGCAGCAGCGGUAAUACGUAGGGGGCAAGCGUUAUCCGGAUUUACUGGGGGUAAAGUGAGCGUAGACGGCAGUGCAAGUCUGGAGUGAAAGGCGGGGGCUCAACCCCCGGACUGCUCUGGAAACUGUACGGCGGGAGUGCAGGAGAGGUAAGUGGAAUUCCUGGUGUAGCGGUGAAAUGCGUAGAUAUUAGGAGGAACACCAGUGGCGAAGGCGGCUUACUGGACUGUAACUGACGUUGAGGCACGAAAGCGUGGGGAGCAAACAGGAUUAGAUACCCUGGUAGUC
Molecule: ribosomal RNA, 440 nt
Filed under: uncultured bacterium
Lineage: Bacteria
Description: partial 16S ribosomal RNA
Rfam family: Bacterial small subunit ribosomal RNA
Source: RNAcentral